Molecule: ribosomal RNA, 874 nt
Filed under: Escherichia coli
Lineage: Bacteria; Pseudomonadati; Pseudomonadota; Gammaproteobacteria; Enterobacterales; Enterobacteriaceae
Description: partial 23S ribosomal RNA
Rfam family: Bacterial large subunit ribosomal RNA
Source: RNAcentral
CUGAAUCAGUGUGUGUGUUAGUGGAAGCGUCUGGAAAGGCGCGCGAUACAGGGUGACAGCCCCGUACACAAAAAUGCACAUGCUGUGAGCUCGAUGAGUAGGGCGGGACACGUGGUAUCCUGUCUGAAUAUGGGGGGACCAUCCUCCAAGGCUAAAUACUCCUGACUGACCGAUAGUGAACCAGUACCGUGAGGGAAAGGCGAAAAGAACCCCGGCGAGGGGAGUGAAAAAGAACCUGAAACCGUGUACGUACAAGCAGUGGGAGCCUCUUUAUGGGGUGACUGCGUACCUUUUGUAUAAUGGGUCAGCGACUUAUAUUCUGUAGCAAGGUUAACCGAAUAGGGGAGCCGAAGGGAAACCGAGUCUUAACUGGGCGUUAAGUUGCAGGGUAUAGACCCGAAACCCGGUGAUCUAGCCAUGGGCAGGUUGAAGGUUGGGUAACACUAACUGGAGGACCGAACCGACUAAUGUUGAAAAAUUAGCGGAUGACUUGUGGCUGGGGGUGAAAGGCCAAUCAAACCGGGAGAUAGCUGGUUCUCCCCGAAAGCUAUUUAGGUAGCGCCUCGUGAAUUCAUCUCCGGGGGUAGAGCACUGUUUCGGCAAGGGGGUCAUCCCGACUUACCAACCCGAUGCAAACUGCGAAUACCGGAGAAUGUUAUCACGGGAGACACACGGCGGGUGCUAACGUCCGUCGUGAAGAGGGAAACAACCCAGACCGCCAGCUAAGGUCCCAAAGUCAUGGUUAAGUGGGAAACGAUGUGGGAAGGCCCAGACAGCCAGGAUGUUGGCUUAGAAGCAGCCAUCAUUUAAAGAAAGCGUAAUAGCUCACUGGUCGAGUCGGCCUGCGCGGAAGAUGUAACGGGGCUAAACCAUG